CCUGCCCCUAGAAAUGUUGCUGGUGUGGCUGCUGUGUCAUGUGUGUAUUAGUAGAUAACAGAGAGGUUGGAGGCUAUGUCUAUGCUCAGUGUUCUGACCUAUGAACAUCUGAAUGAUGAGUAAUCUAACAUU
Small nucleolar RNA from Arvicanthis niloticus (Nile rat), 132 nucleotides. RefSeq annotates it as small nucleolar RNA SNORA17. The record is from RefSeq and is a predicted model, not a curated record. NCBI's taxonomy places the organism in Eukaryota, Metazoa, Chordata, Mammalia, Rodentia, Muridae.